GUACUCGCUUCUGUGGUACAUACACGAAAAUUGGAACGACACAGAGAAGAUUAGCAAGGCCCCUGCGCAAGGAUGACACGCAAAAUAGUGACAAUGCCGGCGCGAUA
Small nuclear RNA from Schistocerca nitens (vagrant locust), 107 nucleotides. The record is from RefSeq and is a predicted model, not a curated record. Lineage: Eukaryota; Metazoa; Arthropoda; Insecta; Orthoptera; Acrididae.